Molecule: ribosomal RNA, 301 nt
Filed under: uncultured bacterium
Lineage: Bacteria
Description: partial 16S ribosomal RNA
Rfam family: Bacterial small subunit ribosomal RNA
Source: RNAcentral
CAGCAGCCACGGUAAUACGGAGGGUGCAAGCGUUAAUCGGAAUUACUGGGCGUAAAGCGCACGCAGGCGGUCUGACAAGUCAGAUGUGAAAUCCCCGGGCUUAACCUGGGAACUGCAUUUGAAACUGUCAGGCUGGAGUCUUGUAGAGGGGGGUGGAAUUCCAGGUGUAGCGGUGAAAUGCGUAGAGAUCUGGAGGAAUACCGGUGGCGAAGGCGGCCACCUGGACAAAGACUGACGCUCAGGUGCGAAAGCGUGGGGAGCAAACAGGAUUAGAUACCCCUGUAGUCCCUGUCUCUUAUAC